This 247-nucleotide ribosomal RNA is filed under the name uncultured bacterium. RNAcentral's name for it is "partial 16S ribosomal RNA". It matches the Rfam family "Bacterial small subunit ribosomal RNA", at positions 86 to 334 of the family's 1533-position model. The record is from RNAcentral.
AGAUGGCGACCGGCGCACGGGUGAGUAACACGUAUCCAACCUGCCGAUAACUCGGGGAUAGCCUUUCGAAAGAAAGAUUAAUACCCGAUGGCAUAAUUAGACCGCAUGGUCUUAUUAUUAAAGAAUUUCGGUUAUCGAUGGGGAUGCGUUCCAUUAGGCAGUUGGUGAGGUAACGGCUCACCAAACCUUCGAUGGAUAGGGGUUCUGAGAGGAAGGUCCCCCACAUUGGAACUGAGGCACGGUCCAA